GUGAGGAAUUUUCCGCAAUGGGCGAAAGCCUGACGGAGCAAUGCCGCGUGAAGGAUGAAGGCCUAUGGGUUGUAAACUUCUUUUCUCAGAAAAGAAUUAUGACGGUAUCUGAGGAAUAAGCAUCGGCUAACUCUGUGCCAGCAGCCGCGGUAAGACAGAGGAUGCAAGCGUUAUCCGGAAUGAUUGGGCGUAAAGCGUCUGUAGGUUGUUUAAAAAGUAUUCUGUCAAAGAUUAGGGCUCAACCCUAGAUAGGCAGAAUAAACUUUUAAGCUAGAGUUUGGUAGAGGCAGAGGGAAUUCCCGGUGGAGCGGUGAAAUGCGUAGAUAUCGGGAGGAACACCAAAGGCGAAGGCACUCUGCUGGGCCAAUACUAACACUGAGAGACGAAAGCGAGGGGAGCAAAUGGGAUUAGAUACCCGUGUAGUCC
Molecule: ribosomal RNA, 426 nt
Filed under: uncultured bacterium
Lineage: Bacteria
Description: partial 16S ribosomal RNA
Rfam family: Bacterial small subunit ribosomal RNA
Source: RNAcentral